Molecule: ribosomal RNA, 573 nt
Filed under: uncultured bacterium
Lineage: Bacteria
Description: bacterial SSU rRNA
Rfam family: Bacterial small subunit ribosomal RNA
Source: RNAcentral
UGAGUUUGAUUCUGGCUCAGGAUGAACGCUGGCGGCGUGCUUAACACGUGCAAGUCGAACGAACCUUCGGGUUAGUGGCGGACGGGUGAGUAACGCGUGAGAAUCUGCCCUCAGGAGGGGGACAACAGCUGGAAACGGCUGCUAAUACCCCAUAUGCCGCGAGGUGAAAUGAAUUUCGCCUGAGGAUGAGCUCGCGUCUGAUUAGCUAGUUGGUGUAGGUAAUGGCUCACCAAGGCAUCGAUCAGUAGCUGGUCUGAGAGGAUGAUCAGCCACACUGGGACUGAGACACGGCCCAGNCUCCUACGGGAGGCAGCAGUGGGGAAUUUUCCGCAAUGGGCGAAAGCCUGACGGAGCAACGCCGCGUGAGGGAUGAAGGCCUCUGGGCUGUAAACCUCUUUUAUCAAGGAAGAAGAUCUGACGGUACUUGAUGAAUAAGCCACGGCUAAUUCCGUGCCAGCAGCCGCGGUAAUACGGGAGUGGCAAGCGUUAUCCGGAAUUAUUGGGCGUAAAGCGUCCGCAGGCGGCCCUUCAAGUCUGCUGUUAAAAAGUGGAGCUUAACUCCAUCAUGGCAGU